Molecule: ribosomal RNA, 454 nt
Filed under: uncultured Leptolinea sp.
Lineage: Bacteria; Bacillati; Chloroflexota; Anaerolineae; Anaerolineales; Anaerolineaceae
Description: bacterial SSU rRNA
Rfam family: Bacterial small subunit ribosomal RNA
Source: RNAcentral
GGGGCCCCGCACAAGCAGCGGAGCGUGUGGUUUAAUUCGAUGCUACACGAAGAACCUUACCAGGGUUUGACAUGCAAGUGGUAGGAAGCCGAAAGGUGACCGACCCUUCGGGGAGCUUGCACAGGUGCUGCAUGGCUGUCGUCAGCUCGUGUCGUGAGAUGUUCGGUUAAGUCCGCUAACGAGCGCAACCCUCGCUGUGUGUUAUAUGUGUCACACGGGACUGCCGGUCUUAAGCCGGAGGAAGGUGGGGAUGAUGUCAAGUCAGCAUGGCCUUUAUAUCCUGGGCUACACACACGCUACAAUGGCCAACACAAUAGGUUGCUAAGCCGCGAGGUGGCGCCAAUCCAUAAAGUUGGUCUCAGUUCAGAUUGUAGGCUGCAACCCGCCUGCAUGAAGAUGGAGUUGCUAGUAACCGCAGGUCAGCUAUACUGCGGUGAAUACGUUCCCGGGGCUU